UUGAGCAAUGCGCAUGUGCGGG
RNAcentral lists this microRNA (22 nucleotides) under Caenorhabditis remanei. RNAcentral describes it as "crm-miR-233". Its record names the gene crm-miR-233. Lineage: Eukaryota; Metazoa; Nematoda; Chromadorea; Rhabditida; Rhabditidae. The record is from miRBase by way of RNAcentral.